RNAcentral lists this ribosomal RNA (985 nucleotides) under Mortierella macrocystis. Its description in RNAcentral is "eukaryotic LSU rRNA". It matches the Rfam family "Eukaryotic large subunit ribosomal RNA", at positions 92 to 938 of the family's 3401-position model. Lineage: Eukaryota; Fungi; Mortierellomycota; Mortierellomycetes; Mortierellales; Mortierellaceae. The record is from RNAcentral.
AGUGAAGCGGGAUGAGCUCAAAUUUAAAAUCUGGCUGGUUUACUAGUCCGAGUUGUAGUUUAAAGAAGCGUUUUCGGUGGCAGUCUCGGUAUAAAUCCUUUGGAAUAGGGUAUCAUAGAGGGUGAGAAUCCCGUCUUUGACUGAGAAUAUGCUACUAUGUGAUACGUUUUCAAAGAGUCGAGUUGUUUGGGAAUGCAGCUCAAAAUGGGUGGUAAAUUUCAUCUAAGGCUAAAUAUUGGCGAGAGACCGAUAGCGAACAAGUACCGUGAGGGAAAGAUGAAAAGAACUUUGAAAAGAGAGUUAAACAGUGCGUGAAAUUGUUAAAAGGGAAACGCUUGAAACCAGUCAUGCGGUUGGGAAAUCAGUCUCUGACAAGGGGGAAUGGGAGAGGUGUGGACCGCAAGGCCGCUCUUUUUCAUAUCUUUCGUGGCAGGGAUGCACUUUUUCUUCUGCAGGUCAACAUCAGUUUGCUUUGCCGGACAAAACUCUUGGAAAGGUGAUAGCUUAGGCUAUGUUAUAGUCCAAGAGCGAUACGGUGGAGCGGACUGAGGCUUUCGCAGCAUGUGCUCUCGGGCAAGGCUGAUUGGGUGCUAUGGGAUCGUUCAGAGUACAAUACAUGUAUUUUGCUUUGUGUCUUUUCUAUACUCGCUCAACUCGGCUCUUCCAUGCUUAGGAUGUUGACAUAAUGGUUCUAAUCGACCCGUCUUGAAACACGGACCAAGGAGUCUAACAUAUAUGCAAGUGUUUGGGUGGCAAACCCAUGCGCGUAAUGAAAGUGAACGUAGGUGCCAUCCGCAAGGUGCAGCAUCGACCGAUCUUGAUAUUUUUGGAUAGAUUUGAGUAAGAGCAUAUAUGCUGGGACCCGAAAGAUGGUGAACUAUGCCUGAAUAGGGUGAAGCCAGAGGAAACUCUGGUGGAGGCUCGUAGCGAUUCUGACGUGCAAAUCGAUCGUCAAAUUUGGGUAUAGGGGCGAAAGACUAAUCGA